CCUACGGGAGGCAGCAGUGAGGAAUAUUGGUCAAUGGACGAGAGUCUGAACCAGCCAAGUAGCGUGAAGGAUGACUGCCCUAUGGGUUGUAAACUUCUUUUAUAUGGGAAUAAAAUGUUCCACGUGUGGGAUUUUGUAUGUACCAUAUGAAUAAGGAUCGGCUAACUCCGUGCCAGCAGCCGCGGUAAUACGGAGGAUCCGAGCCUUAUCCGGAUUUAUUGGGUUUAAAGGGAGCGUAGGUGGAUUGUUAAGUCAGUUGUGAAAGUUUGCGGCUCAACCGUAAAAUUGCAGUUGAAACUGGCAGUCUUGAGUACAGUAGAGGUGGGCGGAAUUCGUGGUGUAGCGGUGAAAUGCUUAGAUAUCACGAAGAACUCCGAUUGCGAAGGCAGUUCACUGGACUGCAACUGACACUGAGGCUCGAAAGUGUGGGUAUCAAACAGGAUUAGAUACCCCUGUAGUC
RNAcentral lists this ribosomal RNA (460 nucleotides) under uncultured bacterium. Its description in RNAcentral is "partial 16S ribosomal RNA". It matches the Rfam family "Bacterial small subunit ribosomal RNA", at positions 338 to 795 of the family's 1533-position model. The record is from RNAcentral.